CGUAGGGUGCAAGCGUUGUCCGGAAUUAUUGGGCGUAAAGAGCUCGUAGGCGGUCUGUCGCGUCUGCUGUGAAAACUCAGGGCUUAACCCUGAGCUUGCAGUGGGUACGGGCAGACUAGAGUGCGGUAGGGGAGACUGGAAUUCCUGGUGUAGCGGUGAAAUGCGCAGAUAUCAGGAGGAACACCGGUGGCGAAGGCGGGUCUCUGGGCCGUAACUGACGCUGAGGAGCGAAAGCAUGGGGAGCGAACAGG
Molecule: ribosomal RNA, 251 nt
Filed under: uncultured bacterium
Lineage: Bacteria
Description: partial 16S ribosomal RNA
Rfam family: Bacterial small subunit ribosomal RNA
Source: RNAcentral